This 779-nucleotide ribosomal RNA is filed under the name uncultured Neocallimastigales. RNAcentral describes it as "partial large subunit ribosomal RNA". It matches the Rfam family "Eukaryotic large subunit ribosomal RNA", at positions 20 to 616 of the family's 3401-position model. The record is from RNAcentral. Lineage: Eukaryota; Fungi; Neocallimastigomycota; Neocallimastigomycetes; Neocallimastigales.
UACUAGAGUAGCACUCGCAUAUCAAUAAGCGGAGGAAAAGAAACUAACAAGGAUUCCCCUAGUAACGGCGAGUGAAGCGGGAAGAGCUCAAAUUUGAAAUCUUAAAGGGUUUCCCUUUACGAAUUGUAGUUUAAAGAAGUGUUUUUCUGUUGAGGUUUUGGUAAAAGUUCUUUGGAAUAGGACAUCAUAGAGGGUGAGAAUCCCGUAUUUGACCUUUACUUUCAACUUUGUGAUACACUUUCAAAGAGUCGGAUUGUUUGGGAAUGCAGUCCAAAAUGGGUGGUAAAUUUCAUCUAAAGGCUAAAUAUUGGCGAGAGACCGAUAGCGAACAAGUACCGUGAGGGAAAGAUGAAAAGAACUUUGAAAAGAGAGUUAAACAGUACGUGAAAUUGUCAAAAGGGAAGCGUUUGACACCAGUGUUGUUUUUCUGAAAAUCAAUUAAAGAACUGUUUAUGCUAAGCUUGUUUAGACUUUAUCAGCUAAUCUGUUUAGUUUUGAGCUUUUCUUUAAUGCACUUUUCAGUUAACAAGGUCAACAUCAAUUUCUUUUGCUGUAAAAAAGCUUGAGGAAGGUGGCUUGAGAUCCGUCUUAAGUGUUUAUAGCCUCUUGCCUAUGCAGUCGGAGAGAUUGAGGUCUGCAGCGUAGAUCCUUCGGGGCUAAAUGCAUUUGUGCUAAGUUAUAGCAUUUUAUAGACAACUUGUUGACUAUGAUUUGUCUUGUAGCUUACUCGCUUAUGUUAUUUUACCUACGCUUAGGAUGUUGAGCGCAUGUCUCUCUCU